AGAACGAACGCUGGCGGCAGGCCUCAAACAUGCAAGUCUAGGGGGUGUAGCAAUACAUCACCGGCGGACGGGUGCGUAACACGUGGGAAUGUACCUACUGGUUCGGAACAACGCAGGGAAACUUGCGCUAAUACCGAAUAAGCCCGAAAGGGGAAAGAUUUAUCGCCAGUAGAUCAGCCCGCGUAGGAUUAGCUAGUUGGUGGGGUAAUGGCCCACCAAGGCUCCGAUCCUUAGCUGUUCUGAGAGGAAGAUCAGCCACACUGGGACUGAGACACGGCCCAGACUCCUACGGGAGGCAGCAGUUGGGAAUCUUGGACAAUGGGGGAAACCCUGAUCCAGCCAUGCCGCGUGAGUGAUGAAGGCCUUCGGGUUGUAAAACUCUUUCGACGGGACGAUAAUGACGGUACCCGUAGAAGAAGCUCCGGCUAACUUCGCGCCAGCAGCCGC
Molecule: ribosomal RNA, 447 nt
Filed under: uncultured bacterium
Lineage: Bacteria
Description: SSU rRNA
Rfam family: Bacterial small subunit ribosomal RNA
Source: RNAcentral